UACAGUUGAACCACCUUAUAAGAGACCCACACAGGAGAGCAGUUCUUGUCCCUUAUACGGGGUGCCUUGUAUAAGCUGGGUACCAUGUUCUCAUUUUUCAUCAACCCCUGCUUCGAUGACGGCACAUUGGUGUGUCUUCUACCCACUUGUCUCUUACAUCAGCGUCUCUUAUAAUGGGGUUCAUCUGUACUUGCUUGACAGACAAGCAGUUCUACAUAACAUGCAGCUUCUGCAGAAAUGUUUUGCAGGGAGCAAAACAUGAACACUUAUAAGAAACAAGAGAUUGCUGAAAGUAGCCGUAAUGAACUGUUGCUGUGGCGCUGUCCUUUUCUAGGGGAGGUUACUGCCUGGCCCCUUCACGCAUGGAGUUCUGGCAGGGACACUCCUCUCGUCUGCACGAUCGCAUCGUUUUUCAAAAGGGCGACGCUUCUGGCAUGGCAGAACCAGCUGCACCUGGCUGGGUGAUGGAGAGGUUGUACCCGUGAGCUUUUUUCCAAGUGACCCCAUUUUUGUUCUCCUAUGUUCCACUUAGCUGUCCACCCCUUCCUCUCUUCUUCUUCACUCCGUUUGUGUUCUUUCAUACCUGUGGUCGCUGGCACAGUUCGUGGCAGAAAUUGACAAAAAUAGUAUACCCGUAUGUAAGCUUUCCUCAUCAGUUGGCUAGGCUGGAGUUGCUGCCACAGGUAAUGCGAUAAAUUACUGAAAACUGGUGGCUGGAUGCUUGAAAAAGCGGAAUACUAUGCAGCUCACACACUUCCAUGAUGAAUUUUGGCCUCACCUCUGUUAUUAAUAUUAUUGCAGUUUGCUCAUGAUAUUUAAAUGUUGUUGGUUAUUGAGGCUAUUCUUGAAAUUUGGUUGGCACACUGCUAUAUCAAAACAUUUUGAAGCUUCUUAAUUCUAAGAGCCAGUUGUUUAAUUCGAUCCAAAUUGGCUGGCUUCCAGAGCAGACAACAUAGCCAAAACCUCAGUUUUUCACCUUACAUAAUGGACGUGGCUGACAUUCAUAUUCCUCAUAAAGAGGAAUAUCGAUAUGAGUGAAGUUUAUUGCGAAUGGCUGGCUGCUUUCUUAAACUCCUUGUUACUGUCAUUGUGUAGAUUGUGAAUAUGUUCUGUCACCUCAGGUACAGUCGCACUCAGUAUGACUUGCAGCAUGGGAGCGCGUGACCUCAUGAGUUCAAAGAUUGCACAUGGCUUCAACUUGUUUUCAUUUCAGCAACUAAAUAUUUUCUUAUUUGGAAUCAUCCCCGUGUGCAAGAACAGCAUUUAGUUAUGGAAAUAAGGUCUAGUGGAAGCCAUGGGCAUGCUUUGAACUCGUGAGGCCACGCGCUCCCGUGUUGCAAGUCAUAUUGAGCGCGACUGUACAUGGGAAGUGAAUGUAUUGGAUGUUUAUUGUGUUGAGCUGGAUAGGAGAUGAACUGGCAGGGUGGAGUGUAUUUGUGUUUCGGACAUUACAAUAAAAGAAGAGUACACAACGAGAGAACAAAACAGAACGUGUCCUCCUUUCUUUUUUUUUUGUGUUGUUUCUUGUGCUAGCCUCAAAUGCAAACUUGUUCAUUUAGAGACAGCAGCAGGUAGCUGGGAAAUAAAAGCCUGAAUAUAGUUGGAGAACCAUUCCAUCUCAGGCUUGUUGAAAUGCAUAUUACUUGGUCAUCAAGCUUUUAUGCUUUGCACACAGUCAUGCUACGAUUUUUGGUACUGGUAGUCUUGAAGAAGUCCUAAUUGCUAAACGACAGACACAAGCCUGUCUUUCUUAGUGUUUAUCUGGCACUGGUGUGUUGUGAGCUAUCAGACACAUUGUAGUUUUAACAUAUAAACAAAAAAGUGUGCUUUUCUCAUGUUAAUAAAAGCUUUUAUUUGUAUUGCUUCAGCCAGAAAAAACACCAGAAAGAGUGCAGGAAGAGUGCACUUUUGGGUUAGUCUUGUUAUGCCUUCUGAACAAAUUUGUACCAUGUGUUCUGUUAUUAGCAUUCACAUUUUCGUGAGGGUGUUACUACACAUCCUACUUUUCUGAUUCACAUCACUGUUGUGGGUACUCCUCCACACAUUGACGACCGAGUUUUAAGGGAAGUGCUGUGGUAUUUAGGUUAGGAAAAUACAAACAAGCAGGUUUUUGUAGAGCCUACUUAAACAAUGAAACUUUGUAUGCAUGUAUACAUUGCAACUUCUGCUGCUCUCUUUUCUGUCUAGCAGCAGUAAUGCUAUGGCUGCUCAGGGACAGUAGGAUUAGGUGAAGGCCUAUUUCCACCAUAAUUACUAUCUUUGAGUGUGCAAACACAAGCCAAUUACAUUCCGUGUUGGCUUCUCGUGGUGCCACCAUGUUUCUGUGCAGUGCACAGUGAGUUUCCAGAAGUCAUCGUCACGGGAUGCUAGCGAUCAUUAGCUAUUACACCACACCAUGUAUAUUUAUGCCGCUACAGCUGUCGAGUGACAGUUCAUGUCAUGAAAUUUGCUUUAGGUGACUUGCCGUUUGUAUUUGUCUGCGCCUCCUGCCUGCUUGCAGGUCGCAGUGUGAAAACAACUGUGCUUCCAAUAACAGGGCUUCCACAUUUUCACUAAUGCUAGUUGCGAGGAUAGCAGUAGAUGGUUGAUUGUCAUUGUUUAAACUGAGCAAGUGUACAGCAGCUUGCUCGCGCAAUUUAUUUUUCUGUCUGCAGCGCUGCGAUGACAUAACCUUGUGAAGUAACUAUAGGCUGGGGUGUACAACUUUGGGGGUAGCUUGAGUAAUUUUAAGUCUGGACGUAAUGAACUUGAGUAUUGGCAGACUACCAAGAAAUUGCUCACCCACUACAGUGGCUAAAUGGCUGCAGUGCUUCACUCCUAACCAUGAAUUGAGGGGAUCAUUUACCAGCUGCGGCAGGCACAUUUUGAUGGGGGUAAUGUACAAAACUUGUGCACUUUGAUUCAGCUGCUCAUUAAAAAACCUCAGGUGGUGAAAAUUAUUCCGCAGCCCUCCACCAUUACAUGCCUCAUAAUCGUGUCGUGGUUUUGGCUUGUAAAACUUCAGAGUGAAUGCUUGUCUUGGAAAUGGGUAGGACAGGCUGUUUUAUGCAAUCACGUCACAAGUAUGCAAUAUUAGUGAUUUUGCUUCGACAUCACAGCCUUAUUUAUGCUUGAGAUCGUAUCAAAGCAUAUGAUUGAUUGGUGGAUUUAUCAUCUCAAGAAAUAUGAAAUGGUGCUACAGUGGAGGUUCUAGAUUCAUUUAGAGCACCUGAGAUUCUGUAACACAUCCAAAGCAGUGUGCACGCAAAUGCCUUCGCAUUCAUUUCCUGCAACAUUGUGGUCCAGCUCAGCCAUACUCGUGGCCUCAUGUUUGACAGAACGCCGAACCGCAUAAAUCCUACGUGGUGCGUAUUAUAUGAAACAGUUUCAAUUUCAUGGUGUCAGGGUGAUAUAGAAAGAGCUAGUCAGUACCAAAUAUGGCAGUAAAUCAUUAUUUCAUUGGGUUUACUGUGUUGAGGCUCGAGUGUUCUCGCAAUAAUGGUACCAGUGUGGACCUUGAUUUUUGAAUGAGCUAGUGCAAUUGUUUACCUGCGUGAUUUGCAGACACAUGGUUGCUGUGUCGUGCACACCUGAAGCACAUAGUGUGUCUUAUUGAUGUCAUGCAUUUAGGAUCUUCUUGUUUCAUAUUUCUCUUUUUUUUUUCACAGAAAUGCAGGGGUGCAAAGCACUGUUUUACGAUAAACAUAUUGUUGGAAAGUGAAGUGCUUUGUUAAAGGACGUUUAUGUAGAAAUGUACUUCUUUUUUUAAAAUAAACUGUUUCCUGUCUGUA
Molecule: long non-coding RNA, 3770 nt
Organism: Rhipicephalus sanguineus (brown dog tick)
Lineage: Eukaryota; Metazoa; Arthropoda; Arachnida; Ixodida; Ixodidae
Exons: 2
Source: RefSeq, a predicted model, not a curated record